GCAGUCGUGGCCGAGUGUUUAAGGCUAUGAACUAGAAAUCCAUUGGGGUCUCCCCGCACAGGUUCGAAUCCUGUCGACUGCG
Molecule: non-coding RNA, 82 nt
Organism: Ixodes scapularis (black-legged tick)
Lineage: Eukaryota; Metazoa; Arthropoda; Arachnida; Ixodida; Ixodidae
Source: Rfam